RNAcentral lists this transfer RNA (69 nucleotides) under Rattus norvegicus (Norway rat). It matches the Rfam family "tRNA". Rfam says of the family: Transfer RNA (tRNA) molecules are approximately 80 nucleotides in length. Their secondary structure includes four short double-helical elements and three loops (D, anti-codon, and T loops). Further hydrogen bonds mediate the characteristic L-shaped molecular structure. tRNAs have two regions of fundamental functional importance: the anti-codon, which is responsible for specific mRNA codon recognition, and the 3' end, to which the tRNAs corresponding amino acid is attached (by aminoacyl-tRNA synthetases). tRNAs cope with the degeneracy of the genetic code in two manners: having more than one tRNA (with a specific anti-codon) for a particular amino acid; and 'wobble' base-pairing, i.e. permitting non-standard base-pairing at the 3rd anti-codon position. Lineage: Eukaryota; Metazoa; Chordata; Mammalia; Rodentia; Muridae. The record is from Rfam by way of RNAcentral.
GGGGAUUUAGCUCAGUGGUAGAGCACUUGCCUAGCAAGCACAAGGCCCUGGGUUCGGUCCCCAGCUCUU